GUAGAUGCUCAUUCCAUAUUUUAUGUUUGCGAAAGCUUCAUAAAGCCCGGAAUGAUGCAGAGCCCUUACGAUACCUGUUGUCCAGCCGCCACUAUCGUCGCAAGACCUUAAUGGUACAAGGACACUACGUUGAGUCAGGUAUCACCCAACUUGUCUUACCGACCUGAACGUUUACACCUGCCGGACUGGCGGGUGUUUUUUU
This 202-nucleotide small RNA is filed under the name Erwinia tracheiphila. RNAcentral's name for it is "GlmZ RNA activator of glmS mRNA". It matches the Rfam family "GlmZ RNA activator of glmS mRNA". Rfam says of the family: This RNA was discovered in E. coli during a large scale screen. The sraJ gene was expressed in early logarithmic phase, but its level decreased with cell growth. Lineage: Bacteria; Pseudomonadati; Pseudomonadota; Gammaproteobacteria; Enterobacterales; Erwiniaceae. The record is from Rfam by way of RNAcentral.